RNAcentral lists this ribosomal RNA (465 nucleotides) under uncultured bacterium. RNAcentral describes it as "partial 16S ribosomal RNA". It matches the Rfam family "Bacterial small subunit ribosomal RNA", at positions 338 to 795 of the family's 1533-position model. The record is from RNAcentral.
CCUACGGGAGGCAGCAGUAGGGAAUUUUCGUCAAUGGGCGCAAGCCUGAACGAGCGAUGCCGCGUGAGUGAAGAAGGCCUUCGGGUCGUAAAGCUCUGUUGCGGGGGAAAAAAGGCAGCAUCAGGAAAUGGGUGCUGACUGAUGGUGCCCCGCCAGAAAGUCACGGCUAACUACGUGCCAGCAGCCGCGGUAAUACGUAGGUGACGAGCGUUAUCCGGAAGGAUUGGGCGUAAAGGGUGCGCAGGCGGUCCUGCAAGUCUGGAGUGAAACGCAUGAGCUCAACUCAUGCAUGGCUUUGGAAACUGGAGGACUGGAGAGCAGGAGAGGGCGGGGGAACUCCAUGUGUAGCGGUAAAAUGCGUAGAUAUAUGGAAGAACACCAGUGGCGAAGGCGGCCGCCUGGCCUGUUGCUGACGCUGAGGCACGAAAGCGUGGGGAGCAAAUAGGAUUAGAUACCCCUGUAGUC